RNAcentral lists this ribosomal RNA (111 nucleotides) under Lodderomyces parapsilosis. RNAcentral's name for it is "Candida parapsilosis partial 18S ribosomal RNA". The record is from RNAcentral. Lineage: Eukaryota; Fungi; Ascomycota; Pichiomycetes; Serinales; Debaryomycetaceae.
ACCAAAGCAAAGUUUUCAAAAAAAGAAAAACACAUGUGUAAGAAAAAAUGCAGUUAAGCACUUUUCAUUCUGUAAUGAUCCUUCCGUAGGUGACCUGCGGAAGGAUCAUUA